UACGGAGGGAGCUAGCGUUGUUCGGAACUACUGGGCGUAAAGCGCACGUAGGCGGCGCAGCAAGUCAGGGGUGAAAUCCCGGGGCUCAACCUCGGAACUGCCCUUGAAACUGCAGUGCUAGAAUCUUGGAGAGGCGAGUGGAAUUCCGAGUGUAGAGGUGAAAUUCGUAGAUAUUCGGAAGAACACCAGUGGCGAAGGCGACUCGCUGGACAAGUAUUGACGCUGAGGUGCGAAAGCGUGGGGAGCAAACAGG
This 253-nucleotide ribosomal RNA is filed under the name uncultured bacterium. RNAcentral's name for it is "partial 16S ribosomal RNA". It matches the Rfam family "Bacterial small subunit ribosomal RNA", at positions 524 to 776 of the family's 1533-position model. The record is from RNAcentral.